GGGAUCAUGAUGGGAGCAGCGUCGGCGCACCAGAAACCUUUGUGAACUUAUACCUAUUGUUGCCUCGGCGAAGGCCGGCCUCUUCUGAGGCCCCCCGGAAACGGGGAGCAGCCCGCCGGCGGCCAACCAAACUCUUGUUUCUUAGUGAAUCUCUGAGUAAAAAACAUAAAUGAAUCAAAACUUUCAACAACGGAUCUCUUGGUUCUGGCAUCGAUGAAGAACGCAGCGAAAUGCGAUAAGUAAUGUGAAUUGCAGAAUUCAGUGAAUCAUCGAAUCUUUGAACGCACAUUGCGCCCUCUGGUAUUCCGGAGGGCAUGCCUGUUCGAGCGUCAUUUCAACCCUCAAGCCUGGCUUGGUGUUGGGGCACUGCUUUGUCUCCAAAGCAGGCCCUGAAAUCUAGUGGCGAGCUCGACUAGGACCCCGAGCGUAGUAGUUAUAUCUCGUUCUGGAAGGCCCUGGCGGUGCCCUGCCGUUAAACCCCCAACUUCUGAAAUUUUGACCUCGGAUCAGGUAGGAAUACCCGCUGAACUUAAGCAUAUC
RNAcentral lists this ribosomal RNA (540 nucleotides) under Diaporthe sp. G65-65. RNAcentral describes it as "eukaryotic LSU rRNA". The stretch from base 179 to 332 matches the Rfam family "5.8S ribosomal RNA". The record is from RNAcentral. Lineage: Eukaryota; Fungi; Ascomycota; Sordariomycetes; Diaporthales; Diaporthaceae.